Molecule: long non-coding RNA, 254 nt
Organism: Capra hircus (goat)
Lineage: Eukaryota; Metazoa; Chordata; Mammalia; Artiodactyla; Bovidae
Exons: 3
Source: RefSeq, a predicted model, not a curated record
CCAGGAGCCAAUGGAAAACUUGCACUUGAGGUGAGCGGUUCCUGUCUGAACUGAUUAACCGAGAGCUGACUGGACAAACCAGGACUAGCACAAAUGACAUCGGUCAGUCUGGGAACCCUGACGUUCAGAUUUCCGUCCAUCCAUUCUCGAAAAUCUCCGAAGUCACAGGAUUAUUCCAUGAAAGAAUGAGAAGCAGAAAGAAGAGUGGACAGCAUCAAGUGUCCCUGCCCUGAUCCACAGCCUCAGCUUUUUGG